RNAcentral lists this transfer RNA (76 nucleotides) under Breznakia pachnodae. RNAcentral's name for it is "tRNA-Lys". It matches the Rfam family "tRNA". From Rfam's summary of the family: Transfer RNA (tRNA) molecules are approximately 80 nucleotides in length. Their secondary structure includes four short double-helical elements and three loops (D, anti-codon, and T loops). RNAcentral also lists the same sequence under 4 other names. Lineage: Bacteria; Bacillati; Bacillota; Erysipelotrichia; Erysipelotrichales; Erysipelotrichaceae. The record is from RNAcentral.
GACUUGUUAGCUCAGUUGGCAGAGCAACUGACUCUUAAUCAGUGGGUCCAGGGUUCGAAUCCCUGACAGGUCACCA